Molecule: long non-coding RNA, 1200 nt
Filed under: Arabidopsis lyrata
Lineage: Eukaryota; Viridiplantae; Streptophyta; Magnoliopsida; Brassicales; Brassicaceae
Description: long non-coding RNA (ALYR_LNC001838)
Source: RNAcentral
UUCCUGUAAAGAUCCAGAAUAGAUGCAUUUUUCUUAUAUCAUUUCUCCUGGCUUACAAUGACCAACUUUUUAUAUGAUCUCAACCAGCCAAAACCAAGAAUUGAUUACACUCUGAAGGCUGUCGGUGGAAGCUUAACAGCGAUUCCUGGACUAUCUGAUAUGAUUGAUGUAAGUUCCUCUCUUGGUAGGUCAAGCAGUUUCAAGAGGUUUUAUUUGUUCCCAUUUGGUCUUAUACACAGCUUUUUUGCUUCUAUCUCUGUUAGGAUACUGUUGAUACGAUCGUCAAAGACAUGCUUCAGUGGCCUCAUAGAAUUGUUGUUCCCAUUGGUGGUAUUCCUGUUGAUUUAAGGUACUCAUGUGUUCUGCUUGUUUUUCAUUUGCCUUUUUUCACUCAUAAAUAUUUUGCCUGCCAUUGCCACUCUUUUGUCUUUUCUCCUCUUCUGAUAUAGUCAUAGGAUUGACUUGGGAAGGUCAUGAUACGUAUUGAGAAAACACUAUAUAAUUUGACGAUUCUCUUUAUUUUUCUUCUUUUUCAGUGAUUUGGAGCUUAAACCACAGGGAAAGCUUAUAGUAACAGUAGUGAAAGCAACUAACUUGAAGAAUAAGGAAUUGAUUGGAAAAUCUGACCCUUAUGCUACCAUCCACAUUCGUCCUGUAUUCAAGUAUAAAACAAAGGCAAUCGAGAACAAUCUGAAUCCUGUUUGGGAUCAAACAUUCGAAUUGAUUGCAGAGGACAAAGAAACUCAGUCCCUCACUGUAGAGGUCUAGAAUCUGAAACAUUUAUGCUUCUUACUUGUUCAACUUUGCCAUUGCAAACAUUAACUAAUUCUCUUCGUUCCAUUAAAACUUUUGGCAGGUAUUUGAUAAAGACGUAGGCCAAGAUGAGCGUCUGGGACUUGUGAAACUUCCCUUAAGCAGUUUGGAAGCCGGAGUAACAAAAGAACUGGAGCUAAAUCUGUUGUCUUCACUUGAUACUUUGAAAGUAAAAGAUAAGAAAGAUAGAGGAAGUAUAACUCUUAAGGUAUAGAUGUUCCCUUGAAUAAACGCAAAACUUUUCCUUUUCGCUGUUCCUAAAUUAACUUGAAUUGAAGGUACAUUAUCAUGAGUUCAACAAAGAGGAGCAAUUGGCUGCAUUAGAAGAGGAGAAGAAGAUCAUGGAAGAAAGGAAGAGACUGAAGGAAGCAGGAGUGAUAGGUAGCA